Molecule: ribosomal RNA, 827 nt
Filed under: archaeon enrichment culture
Lineage: Archaea
Description: bacterial SSU rRNA
Rfam family: Archaeal small subunit ribosomal RNA
Source: RNAcentral
GUCGAGAGGGUUCGGCCCUCGGCGUACUGCUCAGUAACACGUGGAUAACCUGCCCUAAGGAAGGGGAUAACCCCGGGAAACUGGGGAUAAUACCCUAUAGGUUACAGAUGCUGGAAUGCUCUGUAACCGAAAGUUCCGGCGCCUUAGGAUGGAUCUGCGGCCGAUUAGGUUGUUGUCGGGGUAACGGCCCAACAAGCCAGUAAUCGGUACGGGUUGUGGGAGCAAGAGCCCGGAGUUGGAUUCUGAGACACGAAUCCAGGCCCUACGGGGCGCAGCAGGCGCGAAAACUUUACAAUGCGGGCAACCGUGAUAAGGGAACCUCGAGUGCCUGUAUAUGCAGGCUGUCUGGGUGUCUAAAACACACCUAAAGAAAGGGCCGGGCAAGACCGGUGCCAGCCGCCGCGGUAAUACCGGCGGCUCGAGUGGUGGCCACUUUUAUUGGGCUUAAAGCGUUCGUAGCUGGGUUGUUAAGUCCCUUGGGAAAUCCGACAGCUUAACUGUCGGGCGUCUAAGGGAUACUGGCAAUCUUGGAACCGGGAGAGGUGAGGGGUACUUCGGGGGUAGGAGUGAAAUCCUGUAAUCCUCGAGGGACCACCUGUGGCGAAGGCGCCUCACCAGAACGGCUUCGACAGUGAGGGACGAAAGCUGGGGGAGCAAACCGGAUUAGAUACCCGGGUAGUCCCAGCCGUAAACGAUGUGCGUUAGGUGUAUCGGUGACCACGAGUCACCGAGGUGCCGAAGGGAAACCGUGAAACGUACCGCCUGGGAAGUACGGUCGCAAGGCUGAAACUUAAAGGAAUUGGCGGGAAGGGCGAAUUCGUUAAACC